Long non-coding RNA from Medicago truncatula (barrel medic), 570 nucleotides. RefSeq lists it as uncharacterized. NCBI's taxonomy places the organism in Eukaryota, Viridiplantae, Streptophyta, Magnoliopsida, Fabales, Fabaceae. The record is from RefSeq and is a predicted model, not a curated record. The transcript has 4 exons.
UCGGUCAUAUAACUUAUUAAAAAAAAAAAAAAAAUCUCGGACAUAUAAUUUCGCUUCUCAUAUCACUCUCAGACUUCCUCUCAUACGUGUUCUCUGGCAUUUUUCUUCGCCGUCAAAGAUUGCACCACGCAGUUUCUUGCAAAUAGCAUCUUUCUGCGUAGCGUACAGAAAACAUCUGAAGUGCAGUUGGUUUAAAAGAGCAACGGAGAUAACACGGCGUUUCUAUGGACCAAGACAAAGCGAUUGAACUUCAAACUUUAUUUGACAAAUUGAAGAGAGAUGAAGUGUCCAAACAUCAAUUUGUACGGCUUAUGAAAGGCAUUGUGGGGAAGCAGAUGCUUAUAUCAACAUUAACAGAAGUGCACCAACAGAGAAGAGGCAACCUAGGUUCAGCAGCAACUGUUCGAGAGAUAACAUUAACGAUGCGAACACUAGAACUCUGAAGGUCUACCACAGAUGAAAGUAUAGGGAUGGAUGUAAUUAGGAAGUAGUUUUCCUUGGUUUUUUGUUUGUUAGAGUUAGGUUAAUUGUUUAUUUUUCUGUUUUAAAUUCUUUUAACCUUAUAUUGUA